Long non-coding RNA from Acinonyx jubatus (cheetah), 2684 nucleotides. RefSeq lists it as uncharacterized. The transcript is spliced from 2 exons. NCBI's taxonomy places the organism in Eukaryota, Metazoa, Chordata, Mammalia, Carnivora, Felidae. The record is from RefSeq and is a predicted model, not a curated record.
CUAAGGCCAGCCGGGUUGGAGGGGGAGGAUCCUCAAAGUGCGCGAGCUGGGGGAGAUGUGGUCUUAGGAAGGUUUGCGCUGGUCUCCUGGGGAAGGGGACUCAGCGCAGGACUGAGGCAGUGGCAUACCGCGGAAACAAGUUCCUUCGGUAGUAAAUGUCCCUACACUGGUUCCUACAGGUGGCCUUGGGUUUAUGCUGGAAGGCGGGGGAGGCAGCUCCUUUGUUCCUGGGGGAGUCUCCCUAGGAUCUCUGCCCCUCCAGACAUGCUCGGAGAUUAGUAAAUAACUCUCCCUCCCAGGCAUUUUUCAAAAUCCUGCUUUGAUGUUGUAUCUGCACAGGCUGUCUUUUGUCCUGUUUCUUUAAGGGACUCGGUUUCCUUUUGGCCUCUGGUUCUCCCAGAGCCGAGCCUGCUGAUUUUUAAAAUUCUAGGUUUUUGAGUUCCGCCGGUUGUAAGAACUCAUGUAAUUUGGCCCCUCCGGUUUUCAAAGCCAGAUGUUGCGGGGGUUUGUCCCCGCUGUGAGUGCUCCCCAGUGUGACAGUCUGUUUCUCCCCCUUCCCACCCUCUUUGAUGCGGCCUCUUUACUUUCAGUUGUAGAGGUUCUUCUGCCAGUCUUCGGGCCAUUUUCUGGGUUAUUUACACAGAUGUGUCACCUAGUUGUAUCUGUGGGUGAGGCAAGCUUCCCAGCCUCUUUCCUAAAUACGGUGUUUCAUUUCUGCUUAACAGAACAUCUCAAUUUGGACCAGUCACAUUUUAAGUGCUACCCUGUCAUUGGUUGCUACUGUAGACAGUACAGAUCUAGGAAUUUAGCUUCUCAUGUAAUUUUUCUACCCAGGCAGAGGAUUUUCCUGGGCCCACUGCCAUCCAUACAUGGCUCUUUGAAAGCUAUACCUAGCUGUUACUGUAAAGAAAGAAACUGGCCUUUGGGAGUUUUGUACAUCAGACUUUUGUGCGUUUGGUUAGUGGGAGUCGGUACCUUUGGCCAAUCAGCUUGGAGUACUCCCAGGACCUAAUUCUUUGUUGUGUUAUGGCUACAAGCCAGAGGUCUUUUUUCUCCCCCCAAGUUCAUUUGUUUUGAGAGAGAGGAGCAGGGACAGAGGGAAAGAGAGAGAAUCCCAGGCAGCGUGGAGCCUGAUGCUGGGCUCGAGCUCACAAACUGUGAGCCUCCCAGGCGCCCCAAGGAGCCAGACGUCUUACUGUGGUGAAUCCCCAAGACGGUUCCUCUCCCUGGGAACGUGGCUGUGGCAAAAUGACGUCCCUUAGGCGGCUCCCCUACCUUCCUCCACCUCUUCUGUGCUUUGAGCCCCUCCGCUCCUCGGGCUUAGCGUACUGUGCCUCUCAGUUCAGCUGAUACUUUUUGGGUAGCCUUCCGGCUUCCCAUCCAGCUAGUUGUGAAUGGUUACAAGUUUCUCUACCAUAAAUGCUAUGAGUAUUGACUUAAUGAUUUAAAACGUUACCCCCCCUCCUAACUUUGGGGCCGAGUCUGAGCCUGUCGGGUGUGCUGGGUAGCGUGAGUGGCCCUCUGUCCUCCUGAACCACUCCCAGGACUUUAAAGUGACUGUGUCCCAGAGAAGGGGACGGCAAGAAGGGGAACCUCAGAAUCUCUUGCCAGGUGAGCCGGUCUACAGAGCCCGUCCUGCUGUCCCAGCAGCGUCCUGGUGGGAAGCCAGGAGCUGAGCAGAUGCGCACUGUGUGGCGGGGCCCUCCCCGGCCAGCCCCUCCCCUGGGCCAUCAGGUCGCUCCCCUUUCUGAACUCUGUCGCCAUCCCCUCGCCCCCUGAUCUCACCACCUUCUUCUUCUACCUACUUAACACUGUGCUUCACAGACGGCUCAUCCCAAGGAUCACCUGGCUGCUGCUUGAAGAUACAGGCGACCAGGCCAGUCUAGGGGCCUGUCCUAAUGAGACUGGGUUUAGAGGACAGCGUUUUAGAGGGUCUGCUCUCGGGCGCCUGGGUGGCUCAGUCGGCUGAGUGUCUGUCUGACUCUUGACUUCGGCUCAGGUCAUGAUCUCAUGGUUCGUGGGUUCGAGCCCCGCACAGGGCUCUGCACUGACAGUGUGGAGCCUGCUUGGGAUUCUCUCUCUCCCUCUUUCUCUCUGCCCUUCUCCCGUUCUCUCUCUCAAAAUAAAUAAACUUAAAAAAAUUAAAAAAAAGUGUUCUCCAGCUCACAGAGGGACCAGGAGGAAAAGGCCACAAAUGCACAGCUGUCCUGACUGCUUGUGGGUCAGUGUUCUGUCACCACCUUCCGAAACUCACCAUACCCCACUUACUCGCCUGCGUGGACCCUCUGCUCCGGCCAAAGCAGGCACACUCGGGGAUUCACCCAACCCCAGUCACGGCUCUCGGAAGAAACACGACUGAAUGGAUUGGAAGAUGGAUGGGUAAGUGCACUGCACAAAUUGCACGGAUUUGAUAAGCUAAGGCUACAGCAAAGCUCCUGGAGGUAAUUACCAAGAGAGACCUGUGUACCACAGUCACAGACCUGCGUAAUGUGACAGGCAAAGGCCUUGCUCACAUUCGUGACUGUUCUAUGAAACUCUGUGUUUCAUUUGAUCACAAGCUGGCACGUAAUUUGGAAACGACCAAAUACGGUCUUCGACACGCCUUUCUGUCCUUUCUCCUGGUUUCCCUCCAUCUAAACCGGCAGGCAGGGGUGGGGAGAAGGAAAUGAACAGAUAAAACAAAA